GCUGCCUUCUGGGACUGACCCAUGUGCAGAGCUUCACCUCUCUGCCCAACUGCCUACAUCAGAUUGCUGAGCUCUUCAUCACUGAAAAGAACUAUGGGAAGGCCCUCCAGUUCAUCCAAGCUGAAAAGAUGUUCUACGAAGUGGCGCUGAUCGAACUCACAGCUCUUCAGGGA
Molecule: long non-coding RNA, 173 nt
Organism: Nematolebias whitei (Rio pearlfish)
Lineage: Eukaryota; Metazoa; Chordata; Actinopteri; Cyprinodontiformes; Rivulidae
Exons: 3
Source: RefSeq, a predicted model, not a curated record